UGACGCUGGCGGCAGGCUACACAUGCUGUCGAACGGUAACAGGAAGCAGCUUGCUGCUUCGCUGACGAGUGGCGGACGGGUGAGUAAUGUCUGGGAAACUGCCUGAUGGAGGGGGAUAACUACUGGAAACGGUAGCUAAUACCGCAUAACGUCGCAAGACCAAAGAGGGGGACCUUCGGGCCUCUUGCCAUCGGAUGUGCCCAGAUGGGAUUAGCUAGUAGGUGGGGUAACGGCUCACCUAGGCGACGAUCCCUAGCUGGUCUGAGAGGAUGACCAGCCACACUGGAACUGAGACACGGUCCAGACUCCUACGGGAGGCAGCAGUGGGGAAUAUUGCACAAUGGGCGCAAGCCUGAUGCAGCCAUGCCGCGUGUAUGAAGAAGGCCUUCGGGUUGUAAAGCACUUUUAUCGGGAAAGAAAAACCCAGGGGUUAAUACCCCUGGCAUUGACGGUACCCGAAGAAUAAGCACCGGCUAACUCCGUGCCAGCAGCCGCGGUAAUACGGAGGGUGCAAGCGUUAAUCGGAAUUACUGGGCGUAAAGCGUGCGCAGGCGGUUUGCUAAG
RNAcentral lists this ribosomal RNA (564 nucleotides) under uncultured bacterium. RNAcentral describes it as "bacterial SSU rRNA". It matches the Rfam family "Bacterial small subunit ribosomal RNA", at positions 31 to 587 of the family's 1533-position model. The record is from RNAcentral.